UUUUUUUUUUUGAAAGACGGGGUCUCACUAUGUUGCCCAGGCUGGUCUCAAACUCCCGGGCUCAAGUGAUCCUCCUGCCUCAGCCUCCCAAAGUGCUGGGAUUACGGGCGUGAGCCCAGUCUGUGGGCAAUUUUUAAGCCAUCACCAACACCGACACCGCAGGAAGAACAAGCCGUCCCUGGAUUUGCUUCCUGGCUGCGCUGCAGUCACACCUCGCAAAGCAGCAGCACGGCAGCCUGACUGCGCUCUGCACGCUGUUACUGUGCCCCGGAGCCCCUCGAGGAGACAAGUGAGACUGUGUUUCCCAGACACCCGCUCCAAGCCCGCGGCAGAGCCAGACCGGCAAUGGGAUCCUCAGCGUCUUCUCCCCGGGGACCAGGCAGAUCAGGCGCAGCCAAAGGGUCUGCAGACCGCCCCGCAGCCAGCCGGGAGGGAGGGGCAGGCGAGCUCUCCCCGGGAGGCGGGCCCUCCCCCACCGCGGACCUCCUGACACGGGGCGGGGUGGGCGCGGGGCAGGGGCCACACUGAGCGGCUCAGCCCGCCGCGUCUCCACGCUCUGGGCUCCUGGUCCCAGGGAGAGCCUGGCCCCGCCACCCACUUUAAGACCCCGCCAGUCACCGCGGCUCCCGCCGCAGCGCCCUGAGGCCCAAGGCUGGGCCCGCGUGAGCCCACAGCGCCCCCUGGAGGGAGGGUCCGACGCCGCUGCUGAACCCCCGCCUUCCUGAGGUCGCGACCCGGGACCCUCCCGGGCGCCCCAGCCUUCCCCCACAACCCCACAAAGAGGGUUCUGCGGUCCCCUUUGCACACGGAAGGAAACUGAGGCUCAGAAAAGCCAGGCGACUUGACCAAGCCCGACAGCAGAGGUGGGUUGGGGGAGCCGGGGGCUGGAGAGGAGACCCAGGGUGCGGCCGGAGGCGGGGUGGAGUGGGCCGGGGUGGAACCCAGUCCUGGAGGGCACGGGAGCUAGUCAGCUUCCAACGCCCCCCAACUCCUCCUACGGCCCUUGGCCCCUGUCUGGCCAGUUCCUUCUGGAAGCCACUAGCUGUGGGCUUAGCCCUGGAUCCACACCCACCCGAAGACCGGACAGUCAGCACCAUGUGUGAGCCUCCUCUACCAAGACCAUACCAUCUCCCGGGCCCAAGGGCACAUGAGAAGAUGGCCCUCUGCAGCCUGGGAGUGGGUCUUCCCCGGAACCUGACCGUGCCUGCACCUGAUCUCAGAUCUCCAGCCUCCAGAACCAUGAGAAAUAAACAUCUGAUGUCUCUAUUGCCACUGAGUCUAUGGUCACCCUGGGCUGAACUGGGCCAAACAGGAACCAGGAGGCAGAUGUCUAUGGCAAGAGUGUACCCAGCCCCAGAGGAGGCCGUCUGCUCAUCCUUCACCAAAACUCCCCUCAGAUCUGCUCAAGGAAGGGGAAAUGAGCAGGAGUAGGGGUUCUUCUGAGAUGAAAUGGGGGGAAGAAAACCCUGCAACCUGGGUGGGAGCAGCACCCUCCCACUGGAUCCUCAGGAAACCUCUCUUUCCAGGGGGCAGGGGAGAGGUGCAGCCAUCGGUUGUUUAGAGAGAAACCGUGUGUGCUGAAAAAAAGGUAACAGCCCGGCCAACACACCAUUAACUGGCUUCAACUCUCCCCAGGGUUGCAGCCUCCUGGGGGACGCUUCACUGAGGGCAGAGCCCAGCCUGUUGAGCAGCACAGGACAGGUACAAGAAUUCAGCCUAAACCCAUAGCCUCCUCCCACCCACGUGCCAAUCCCAGAAAAGUCACCCCAGAAGCAAAUCCCCAGGUGGCAGGAGCCAGAAACACUGGUUA
Molecule: long non-coding RNA, 1810 nt
Organism: Gorilla gorilla gorilla (western lowland gorilla)
Lineage: Eukaryota; Metazoa; Chordata; Mammalia; Primates; Hominidae
Exons: 4
Source: RefSeq, a predicted model, not a curated record